UGAGGGUCCGCGGCUUCAGUCUUGAAGUCAGUGAGACCAAGAACCCACCGAUUCCGGACACACUUUCAGAAUGUGACGAGGACCUGAGGGUCUGGAAAUAACUGGGAAAGAAAAGCCUUGUGGAAAGAAGACAUCUCCAGGGAAAACAUGCUGCUUCUUCAAAGACUCCAAUUUCAGAUGGCAAAAUGCAUGGAAGCUGAGAUGGACCUUCUGGAGUUUUCGAUAAACCACUGUAGCUCAGUCAGAGGUCCAAUUAUGAUGAUACCCACACAGCCCGGUCCUCCCACAGCCUACAUCCAAUCCUCUGAGGAAGCUGAGUGGCACUGCCUUUAUUCACCACAGAUGCUACAGAAUCAGCAGGAAGGAAGACUGUGAAAAGGAAAAAUGCACUCUUUUAAGGUGAAGACAAAGUAAGAAGACAGGCCGUUUGUGAACGAAGAAGCAGUCCCUCACCAGACACCGGAUCUGCCAGUGCCUGGAUCUUGAAUCUGCUGGUGCCUUGAUCUUGGAUUUCCCAUUCUCCAGAAUUGGAAUUGACGUGAAAAGAAUGGAAACAUAAAAAGGAAAACGGAGACCUUUCAUGAACAAAGUAGAAUUCCUUGGAAAUGUGGUGCAGGUUGACAUUAUGUGGUUGUACAAGCAUCGGGUUGGCAUCUGCUCAGCUUCUGAGGAGGCCUCAGGGAGCUUUUACUCAUGGUGGAAGGCAAAAGGGGAACAGGCAUGUCACAUGGCAAAAGCUGGAAUAAGAGAGGUGAGGAGCCUCAUACUUUUAAACAACCAGAUCACAUGAAAACUUACUAUUGCGAGUUACAGCACGAAGAGGAUGGUGCUAAACCAAUCAUGAGAAAUCUGCCCCAAUGAUCCAAUUACCUCCCACCAGGCCCUGCUUCCAACAUUGAGGACUAUAUUUCAACAUGAUAUUUGGGCAGGGACAAAUAUCCAAACUAUUUCACCUUGCAAUCUAGCUUAUACCUACUUCUGGCUCUUAGAAAUCUAUCUAGGUCUAGAAGUCUGUUUUCUACUUGUCCACAAGAACAGUUUGACACUCAGUCCUCCUUAGUCAGCUUGGAUUGCUAUAACAAAAUAUGACAUAUUGGGUGGCUUAAAUAGCAGACAUUUGCUUCUCACAGUUUUGGGAGCUGGGAAGUCCCGUAUCAAGGUGCCAAUACAUUCAGUUCUUAAUGAUAUGGCUCUUCUUAGUUUGCAUAUGGCCACCUUCUCACUGUGUCUUCACUUGUGGGGCAGGGGGAGAGAGAGCUCUGGUGUCUCUUCCUCAUCUUAUAAGGACACUAGUCCUACAAGGCUCCAUCCUCAUGAGCUCAUCUAAACAUAAUUACCUCCCAAAGGCCCCACCUCCAAAUAAAAUCACGUUGGAAGUUGGGACCUCAACAUGUAAAUCAAGGGGGGGAUACAAAUUAGCAGUCCAUGGCAUCUUUAAUCGAAAUAUUUACAUUAAAGACCCUUUAUAUUUCUGUGUAACUAAAUACAAUAUUCGGCUCUUUCUUUUGAGGUCUUCACAAUCAGUGAGAUUUGAGAAUACUUCAAACUUAUUUUGGUACAUACACUUCCAAUGUUCACUAUGAAUUUAAGAUUAUAUUUGAAAAUUUCUUACCUGAUAUUUUAAAAAUAAAUUGUAUUGGUCCUGGCAUAAAUAUGCUUACCUACAUAAAAGGCUGGGAGCAUCACCACAGAUUUAUUCUAUUAAAUGCUAGAUUCAGAAAAAUAAAGGCAAGGAAACUAUUUGGUCCUAUAUCAUUGCAUAUUGACUUAUAAUGUGCCUAAGGAAGUUAAUAUUAUCAAAAAAUCUUGUCAAAUUAUAACAUAUGCCAUAUAAAAUGUACUGUACUUGCAGAAUGUCAAGUAAAUUAGUAGAAUGCAUGAAGUAAAAUGUGUGAUGAGGAUAAGGGCAGUAGAGACAGAAAUAAAUUAUGAAAAGAAAGAAGAAAACAAGUGCCUUAAGUAUAAUUUAUUAGUCUUAGUUUAUCAAAUCCUAUUUCAGCUCUUAAAAAUUAUUAUUUAAAAAACCCAACAGUCCACAAAAUUGAAUGAAAAUAAGAAAACUCAAACAUGCCCAUGCCUUUUUCUCACCAUUUCUUCUAUUCGUCAUUUCUAAAUAUAACCAGUGAGCAGGUGCUGUUCCUACUAGCCUGAAAAAGUCAAUGCAGAUUCCAAGAACCAACUUCACACUCACCAAUAAAUGAAUGUCUUCUCAUUGCCUAAGGAUCCAUUUGAAUGUAUCUAGGACUGAUUAUUGAUUUGCUGAGCUCCAACUAUAUGUCUGUCAUUGUACAGGGCGUGUGGAACAUAUGGUAAAAGCAUGAUACAAGGCCUCUAGUCUUAAACAUUUUAUGUUCUAUUUGAGAAGAGAACUUUAAUUGAAAAAGGAUUUAAUCAUAUAGAAUAUAACACAAAUAUAUUGUACAUAGUAAUGAAGAUCAUUGUAUGCUGAGAUAGCUAAGAAAUCAAAUCUUUAAUUAGGCUAUAAAUCAGAAAACAUUGUUUUAAAUCUGGUUUCCACUACUUCCCAGUGGUAUGAUUUUAGGGAAAUCACCUCAUUUCUCUGACUCUUGGUCUCCUCAUCUGAAAAGGUCAGUGAUAGUACUUAUGUCAGAGGUUUCUUUGGAAGAUAAAAGAUGAGGCACUAGAAAUGUAAUGCGUGACAUAAAUAAGCCAUGUGAUCAGCAUUAGUUGAAUUAGAAGAUGAGAAGGAUCUGGACAGGCUAAAAUAAAGCAGGCAGAUAUUUCUAGGAGAAGCAAAACAUAAAUGUAAAAUGUCAAACUUUAGGAUAUAAAUAAAUAACUUGUUUUCUCUUUUGUUUUAGACUAACGUAUAUUGAAAAUUUUGGUAGUCCUGUUAAUUCGAAUCACCAACACAUUAAUUUCUCAGUUGUAUCAGAAAUAUUUUCUCUGGAAAUAUUUGCUAAAUCUGUGCCAGUUCUGAAUAUUUUUUGGCAGGAAGGGUGGGGACUAUUUGGACCAUUGUAUCUUUUCAGAUCUCUACUUAGAACUCUGUAAAAUAUUGCAUACUCAAAAUGGAAUUCAAAGCCUGUAAUUAUGUAUCAGCUCAUAAGUAAUUUUCUGAAUUGUCACCUUUUCCUAAUUUUGGAUUGUGUUUUCUAUUUCGAAAUGAAAUGUUGGCAUGCCUACUAUUUUUUUCUUCUUCAAAUCUGGAUGCCCAACUGUCGAACUUCUAAAAUUUUACUUCCUACAGCGGAAUGAACAUGUUCUUAAAUACACUUUUAAAUUUUUGCUCUGAGUUAUUUUGCCAAAGCAAGGGAGUCUUUAUGACAGAAGAGAGUUGCUUGCAACAAACAAAGAAGGAAGAAGGAAUUUUUCCAAACACAGGCAUUUUAUAAAUUACCUAAUACGUGCAAGAGGUUAUUGAAGCUGUCUUUUCAAGAGCUUACACGAUCUCUUUGGCUUUUUUUAUCUUUCACAUUUUAAAUUUUGCUGCUGUCAUGUGUAUUUAGAGUCACAUUAUUUAAAUGCAGCCAUAAAUAAGCAGAUUUUGCAAAAGAUUCAAAUCUGUAGCAUUUUUAGCUCACAAACAGUUCCAAUAGUGGUGUGUAAUUGGAAGACUGAAUUCUGGUACUAUUUAGACUUAGUUUAAAAUACGGGUCUUCCAUUCAUUAACUUCAUGGCUUUGAAGAAGUCACUUCUCAUCCCAGAGUCUGUUUCCCAAUCUGUGAAUUGGGGAUAAUAAUAAAUAAUGAGCACACAGAGUCUAUAAGGGUCAUAUUUGAUAGUAAAUGUAAAGGUAAAUGGGACAAGAUAGUGGAGUAAGACUUUCCAGCACUGUCUCCACACACACAGAAAUACCAAUUUAAACAAUUGUCCACAGAUGAAAAUACCUUCACUAGAGCUAAGAAAACCAGGUGAGAGAUCACAGUUUCUGGUUGUGGCACAAUGAUGUAAAAAGAUGCAUUGAAUAGGGUAGAAAAGACAAUUUUACAUUACCCACACUACCUUUUCCCCAGUCCCAGGCAGCACAGUGUGGAGAGAGAUAGCAUCUGCUUGGGGGAAAGAAAGGGAAGUGAGCACAGGACUUUGUCUUGGACCCACAUUGGGCCCACCAGAGUAAAACCGAGCACUGGGCAGACUCCCCAAGGACCCAUAUACUAGGCCAGUAUCACAGACUGAGCCCCUAGACCCACCCUGGCAUGAGGUGGAAUCACACAGCCCCAGGCUUCAAGCUUGUAUGGUGAACUUGACCUAUGGCCUGCACCAACACCAGACCAAUGUCAGCAGCUUUGGGCUCUGGACAGCUCUAAGUGGCCUCUGGCUAUAUGCAUCUCAGUAUUAUAUUAGCCACAGCUGCCUCAGGCUUAUCAUCUGCUUUAGCACACAUUUGUCAUAGCAGGCCACAGGCUUCUGGCAAUACUACGACAGCCAUAUCUGCCUCAGGCUACCAGCCUAUACCAGGACUAUACCUGCUGCAGGGCUUUCCAAGACAAAGCCAGCCUGUGAAAACUGGAAUAACCCAGUUCUGUACCCACUUCUUCAAAUGUCCAGGCAUCAGUGUACAAUAACAAGAAUCAAGAACAAUCAGGGAAAUAAGACAUCACCAAGUGGACAAAGUAAGGUGCUAGUGACUGACCCUAAAGAAAUGGAUAUGUAUAAGAUGACUGACAAAUAAUUCAAAAUAACUGUUUUAAUGAAGUUCAGCAAACUUCAAUAAAACAGAGAAACAAUUUAAUGAAAUAAAAAAAUGUAACCAGAAUGAUAAAUUUAAUAAAGAUAUUAAAAUAAUUUAAAAAAUCAAAUAGUAAAUGUCAAGUGGAAAUUAAAAGGAGCUCUUUAAUUAUAGCUAUUAUUAUUUUUAUUAGAGAAAAAACUGAUCAUCAUUCAAAGCAUAUGAAAAAAAUUGUGGCAUGGGGAUAUUGAGAAAGUGUGGUCAAUUUCAGCUUAUAGACCCUGAAUUAUGUAGGUGGUAUUGCAUAAUAACAUAUAAUAGAGAACAAAAUGAAUAGGACAGGCAACAGGUGUAUAGGAGUAAUUGUUCAUAAUCGAAAAUCAUCAGUGCUUUAUUUAGUGAAAAUCAGUUAUUACCUCAUUUUCUCCAGGAAGAUUUCAUAGAGGCAAAUGGUAGCAGAAGGGAUUCUUUUGCCAGUGGUCAAUGGGAAAUCAAAUCAUUUUUGACAUUAAAAAGACAAGCCCAGCUUUAAAAGUCUAAAUAUUCCUCAGUAAAUGUAUACUGGAAAAAUCCCUUACUACAUUUAUUUUCUCUCUUAAGAACUUUAAAAAGGCAAUUUACAUGGCAUUCAAAAUGGUCAAUAUGGUAGGCUGAAUAAUGGUCCUACAAAAUAUAUCUUUUAAUCACCAGGAUUUGUAAAUGGUACAUUACAUGGCAAAUAAAAAUACUAAGCAGGUGUAAUUAAAUUCAAGAUCUUACGAUGAGAAGAUUAUCCUGGAUUAUCCAGGUGGGCCCUAAUGCAAUCACAGGACUCCUUAUAAGGAGAGGCAGAGAGAGACUUGACACAGAAUAGAAAGAAAUGAGUGAAAGAAGCAGAGGGAAGUAGAGUCAAAAGAAAAGAUGUUUUGCAACUGUCUUUGAAGGUGGAGGAAGGGGCCAUGGGCUAAAGAAUACAAGAAAUGCUGUUCUAAACACUGGAAAAGGUCAGGACAUAAAUUCUCACCUCAGUCCUCUUGAGGGAGCAUGAACCUGUUGUCACUUUCAUUUCAGCUCAAUGAUCCUUAUUUUAAAUUUCUGUCCUCUGGAUCUGUGAAAGAAUUUUUUUUUUGUUGUUCUAAACUACAAAUAUUUUCCAGGCAUAGGAAAUUAACACAGUAGAUAAAAUAUAUGUGUCUAUAUCUUUUUCUCGUAAAUCUCCAUUAAACAUAAGAAAUUUUAGUUUUUCAACAAUAGCAAUUAAAAUAGGAGGGAUAGCAUGGGCAAGAAAUGUCAACAGAUUUCUGGUAGAUGAUAAAGUGACAUAAAUAUAUGCAGAGGAGGCUGAAUUGUGAAAGGGCAUGGGUGCCAAGAGGAACAUAAGAGAAACUCAAGAAUCUGAGAGGGAAGCGGUGGUGAUGGAUGGAAAGGAGUAAUACACAGGACUAACAAGAUGAAUAUUUACUGAAGAUUUCUACAUUGUUCACUUAGGGUCCUCAAGCCCCUCUUGCUUCUACAUUCAGGAUGAUCUCCAGCCAGACAUUCACAUCCAGUUUCCAAAAAAGCACAGUUCUUUUUAAAACUAAAACUGAAUAAACUGUAUAGAGGGAACCAGGCAAAUUUAUUUGGAUGCUGGUAUCUGGAAGAAAAUCUUGCAUUUUGGCAUGUUGAGGAACUGUAGCAUAACAACUUCCUGACCUUUCAAGCUGAAACAAAUCCUGCUGUUGGCCCAGAGGACAGAGUUAGCCAUCUAUCUUAUUUCUUCACAUUUAAGUUUAAACAGGCAACAACACAUUACUGCCUUUUGAGGAAAGCCUGCAAGAGAAAAAUGUGAGAUAGAGAAACUGAUCCAAGAAAAAAACAUUUAUCAGGAAAGAUAAAAAAAAAAAAAGUUACAUUACAAUUGUAACUAGAUCCACUUUGAUUUUGAAGAUGUUUUAUACAUCAAGAAAAGGAUGUCACGAAUAAGGAACAGAAGACAGAAUUUACAAUUACAAAAAAGAAAUCCAGAAUUGAAAUAUAAAAAUUAAUAAAACUUCCAGAACCUAUUAUAAAGACAAAGACAGAAAUAUGAGAAGGAAGAAAAUAAAAUGUAUAAAACAGGAGUUCUAACAUCAAAUUAAUAGAUUUUUAAAAAAUAAAUGGCAGGAAGGAAAUUAGGAAAGUGAAGAAAACCUUCCAGAAUUAAAGCAAUGAGUCUUCCAAUUUAGAGGCUGACCAAAUACUGACAAAUUAAGUGUACUUAGACAUAUCAUUGCGAAAUUUUCUCACAUUAAGUAUUCUUAAAAUUUCCAGAGAGAAACAUACUUUAUAAAAUGUUUUUAAAAAGACGCAGAAUUAAAUUGGUGUCAGACUUCCCAUAAACAGCAUGCAAUGCUUGAAAACAAUGCUCUGAGGGAAAUGAUUUUUAACCUAGAAAAAAUACUUAGUGAAACAACCAAUCUACUGGGAGAGAGACAACUUGCAUACAUUUUCAGCAUACAAGGAUUUAGAAAAUUUACCUCCCACACUCACUUUCCUAGGAAGCUUCUUGAGGGUGUAUUCUAAAAAAUAAGACAAAAUAUAAGAAAGAGGAAGUCAUGAGAUUCAGGAAACAGUGGCUGAACGCCCAGGAGAAGAGUGAAUGGAAGUGCCAGGACUGCAACUGCAUAGCAGAUCUAGGAAGCAACCAGUCAAUAUUGGAGCAGGAAGAUGCAAAACUCUGCAAGAAAAACCUCUGGGAAAUAAAGAGGACACCAUACAAUAAUAGUAACUGUGUGAGAGAGACUAGAAAUAUCAAGAACUGGAUAAAAAUUUUAAAAAAUGCAAGAAGAAAAAUAAAGACCUACUCAAAUUUCAGGAAACAAAAGUCAACAAGAGUCAAAUAGAACAGCAUGGGCUACAGGCAAUUGAGAGAAUAAAUAUGAAUUGGAAAAAUAUUGUGAUUAAGUUUCUAUUACCAGUAAUAGUGAAAAAUAGAAGCAGAAAUUAGAGAAAGCCAAAUAAAACUCAAGAAAUACACUGUCAAAAUACAAACUAAAUAAAAGUUGUAUCAUGCUUUUAAGCAUAGGCUGGGUAUGAAAAGAGAUUCAUCAUUUGAACAUGAUGCUAAGAGUACUUUACUUUGGAUAUCUCCAAAAUAGUAUUUAGUAUCUAUAAUAGAAAUAUAGAUGGAAAUGAUAAUAUCUCAUUAAAUAGCCCUGUAGUAGUUAGAUCAUCAUGAUAACUUAAACAAGGUUUUUGCCAUUUCAGCUUUUAGAGUCAACCUAUAUACAGAGCAUGAAAGCCUUAAUUAUGGUCACGAUAAAUGAAAAUAUUAUAAAUUUUCAUAAGGUAAGAGUAAAAACAACAGAAGUAGGGAGGUUGUUGGUAUCGGGAGACAUUAAAUAGAAGGAAGGGUAAAGAUUCUAAUACCAUUAUCUUAAAGAAUUAUGGCUUUACUUAAAGGAACAAAUAGAGGUUGAAGUGCAUUAUUUAAUGGGGCUUGAUAUAAAAUUUAAAGUGAGUUAGAGUAAUAUUUAUGCAAACGAAAGAUGAUACAAUGAUAUUGGUAGCGAAAGGAUAUAACUGAAUUAAA
RNAcentral lists this long non-coding RNA (8165 nucleotides) under Homo sapiens (human). Its description in RNAcentral is "HSALNT0392364". Lineage: Eukaryota; Metazoa; Chordata; Mammalia; Primates; Hominidae. The record is from RNAcentral.